Acinonyx jubatus (cheetah) is the source of this 3574-nucleotide RNA transcript. It is a transcript of the gene named centrosomal protein 78, with no coding region annotated. NCBI's taxonomy places the organism in Eukaryota, Metazoa, Chordata, Mammalia, Carnivora, Felidae. The record is from RefSeq and is a predicted model, not a curated record. The transcript is spliced from 19 exons.
CCCCGCCCGUCGGCUUGAACUGCAGCCCCGCGCCGCGGAGGACGGUGAGGCGGGAGCCAACGGCCGGCGCCGCUGGGCUGGGGGCGGCGCGCGAGCGCGGCGUCGGGGGGCCUAGCUGGGGCCGGGGACUGUGAGUCUUCUGGCCGAGCCGCCGCUCCUGCGCAGCCGUGGGAUCGCAGCAGUCGGGCCUUCGACGACCCGGCGUUCUGGGGCGCCAGCGGGCAUUGUCUCCGCCGCCGGCGUCCCCCGAGGCCGUCCCCGGGCCAUGAUCGACUCGGUGAAGCUGCGCCGCGACAGCGCGGCCGACUUCUUCUCACACUACGAGUACCUAUGCGCGCUGCAGGACUCAGUGCCGCUGCCCUCGGUGCGCGCCUGCCUGCGGGAGGGCGUGCUGGACUUCAAUGCAGACCGCCUGCGCGUCGUGGACUGGGCGCCCCUCCUGAGCACCCUCAAGAUUAACAAAGAUCUGCCCCUAAUCUCCAUCAAGAGCUUCUUCCAGUCGUGGCUUGGCGAAACAGGUUCUGACAGAAAUAAAGUUUGCAGAAGUCGUGUUCCUGCAAUAAGAAGCAAAGAUGUGACCUUCCAGUUAUGUAAAGCCCUCAAAUGCUGUUUAAGUAUAUCAAACGCUCUGAAGAACCUAGAGUUAAAUGGACUAGUUCUGAGAGAGAGAGAUUUAACUGUUUUGACAAAGGGAUUGAAUAAAUCGGCUACUCUGGUGCACCUGUCUCUUGCAAAUUGUCCAAUUGGAGAUGGAGGUUUAGAGAUUAUUUGUCAAGGUAUAAAGAACUCUAUCACUCUUAAGACAGUAAACUUCACGGGCUGUAAUCUGACGUGGCAGGGAGCAGAUCACAUGGCCAAGAUCUUAAAGUAUCAGACCAUGAGAAGGCACGAAGAAACCUGGGCUGAGAGUCUUCGUUAUAGGAGACCUGACCUGGACUGUAUGGCUGGUUUGAGGCGUAUCACUUUGAACUGCAACACGCUCAUUGGUGACCUUGGCGCAGGUGCUUUUGCAGAAUCUCUCAGUGAUGAUUUAUGGCUUAGAGCACUUGACCUGCAGCAAUGUGGCCUCACCAAUGAAGGAGCAAAGGCUUUACUAAAGGCCCUGGAAACCAAUAGAACUCUGGUCAUUCUGGAUAUAAGAAAAAAUCCGCUUGUUGAUCAUUCUGUGAUGAAAGCAGUUAUUAAAAAAGUUCUCCAGAAUGGAAGGAGCUCCAAGUCAGAGUACCAGUGGAUCACUUCUCCAUCAGUGAAGGAACCAUUCAAAACUGCUAGACAGAAAAAGAGAACUAUAGUUCUGGGAAGUGGUCGAAAAGGGAAAGCUACUAUUAGAAUCGUUAUAUGGAGACAUAGAGGAUUGGGUACAAAGAAACCUGUAAGUAACGGAAGAAAACACUCCCUUGGUAAAGACAAUUAUGCUCCUGAACCUCUGCCUCCUGGUGUGUCUGGUUUCCUGCCGUGGCGCACAGCAGAACGUGCAAAAAGGAGCAGGGGUUUUCCGUUAAUCAAAACUCGUGACGUGUAUAAUCAUUUGCAGCAAUCGAAUUUUCCUGUGACUGUGACAGUAGAGAGUCCUUCUUCCUCAGAAAUUGAAGAGGUCGAAGAUUCUUCUGAAAGUGUUCAAGAAGAGCCUGAGAAAACCAGUUUAAAGCAAGAAGCAUUACAGGAAAAACUGGAGGGGUGCCUAAAGCAGUUAAAGGAGGAAAGAGUAAUAAGACUGAAGGCCGAUAAACGAGUCAGUGAGCUGGAACAUGAAAAUGCCCAGUUAAGAAAUAUAAAUUGCUCUUUGUCUGAAGCCCUUCAUGCACAGUCAUUGACAAACAUGAUCCUGGAUGACGAAGGUGUUUUGGGCAGCAUUGAGAAUUCUUUUCAGAAGUUCCAUGCUUUCUUGGAUCUCCUUAAAGAUGCUGGGCUUGGUCAGCUUGCCACAAUGGCUGGUAUAGAUCAGUCAGAUUUUCAUUUGCUGGGUCGUCCCCAGAUGAAUUCUACUAUUAGUAGCCUGCCUAGAGAGGAAAAGAAGGCACUUGAAGAUGAAAAACCAGAAUCAAAACAGAACUCCAUAGGACAGAUGCAGAACAUCCAAGUUUCUAUUUGUAUGCAGUCAGCUUACAAUGAAGGAACUCUAAUGAAGUUUCAGAAAAUUACAAGUGAUGCCAGAAUUCCUUUGCCUCUCGACUCCUUCCAUGUCCCUGUCUCCACGCAAGAGCCCUUAGAAACUUUGAGAGACAACCUGGGAGCCCCAGUCAGUGAGCAGUGGCAGGAGUCUUUCAAAGAAUUCAUUGCUAGAACAUGUUCUCCGUCAGCAGAUGUGAUAUCUGGCACUGGAAGCCAAAGAAAAGACGACGAAUUAUCUAGAAAUAGCAGAUCUUCUUCAGAGAAAUUGACCAAAACAGGUUGAAAGGAAGGAACCGAAGAAAGGAGCUACUGAAGAUGCCCAGUGAGCGGCUCACCUGUACCUCGGGACCCCAGGAGGUGGGAGCGUGAGAUGCGUUCAUGCUCGUAGGACUGGAAGAAAGAGAUGUGAGCAGAUUCUGAUUAUAAACUACAUGCUGGAGCUUAUCGUUUAACAGAGCUGACUGAACACAUUCUUUGACUCUUCCAGAAUCUCACCGAGAUGAUUGGAGAAGUAUUAAAACAAAAAUAGAUUAAUAGCAGAGUUGAAAAACCAGAAAAUGAACAAUGUGGGAUUUCUGGAAGAUAAAAAGCAUAUUAUCGAAGGAUCAGUUAGUUAUUAAGAGCAGAACAGCUAAGCUUCCAUUCCGUGCAUCUUCGAAGCACCUCAUUAGGGAGUUGACCACCAGGCUGCAGCUAAGAAAGCAGCUCUCUGAAGUGGCAGUUCUGGCCCAGGACACACUGAGAUUGGAGAGGGUGUCACCCAAGUGACUACGAGGAGGAACUGAAGACAAGCUGCCCACCCACUCUCUCUGGCUGUGGUGACCAGCCACUCCCUUUAUCGUCGCCAGAGGCGCCUGUGAGCAGAAUCUGUGUUCACUGAAAGUGGCACAAUUUUUUGGUUUAGGAAAAGCACUUCAAGCUGUAAACCUUAGGUCCACACCUAUAAAUAAUGCCAAGAAUCAUCAGACUUGAACACCAGUAACAUAAGAGGAGACUCCAAAUUCAAACAAAUUGACCUGUUAAAGUAGUUACUAGGAAAAACAGAAGAAACUUUAAAGUAUGAUUAUGAUCUUCAGAGAGUCCCAAGGAUGUGGUAUCCAUACAGAGUAAGAUGCUAGGAAAAAGAAGGCUUUCAUUUCCGGAAAUUAAAAAUACGAUUAUGAAAAUGCACUCAGAAGAUGGACUAGAUCACAGAAUGGGUUCAGCUGAAGCUUAAAUUUGUGAACUAGAAGCUCUGAGAGAUCCCACUCAUGCCCUGCAAAGGGAUAAAAGAUAAAAAUUAUGAAAGAAAAGUGAGAGCCCGCCACAAACAGGCAUAGAGUAAUUGCACAAGCACACAGAUACUUGUGGGAUGAAUGAGACACAGAUUUUGGUAUUAGGGUUCUCAGCAACAAAAAGACAUUUUUCUCUAAGAAUUACCAAGCAAACGGAACAGUGAGUCCAUGAAAGGUUUUAAAUUAAA